UAACACGUAUCCAACCUGCCGUCUACUCUUGGACAGCCUUCUGAAAGGAAGAUUAAUACAAGAUGGCAUCAUGAGUCCGCAUGUUCACAUGAUUAAAGGUAUUCCGGUAGACGAUGGGGAUGCGUUCCAUUAGAUAGUAGGCGGGGUAACGGCCCACCUAGUCUUCGAUGGAUAGGGGUUCUGAGAGGAAGGUCCCCCACAUUGGAACUGAGACACGGUCCAAACUCCUACGGGAGGCAGCAGUGAGGAAUAUUGGUCAAUGGGCGCAGGCCUGAACCAGCCAAGUAGCGUGAAGGAUGACUGCCCUAUGGGUUGUAAACUUCUUUUAUAAAGGAAUAAAGUCGGGUAUGUAUACCCGUUUGCAUGUACUUUAUGAAUAAGGAUCGGCUAACUCCGUGCCAGCAGCCGCGGUAAUACGGAGGAUCCGAGCGUUAUCCGGAUUUAUUGGGUUUAAAGGGAGCGUAGAUGGAUGUUUAAGUCAGUUGUGAAAGUUUGCGGCUCAACCGUAAAAUUGCAGUUGAUACUGGAUAUCUUGAGUGCAGUUGAGGCAGGCGGAAUUCGUGGUGUAGCGGUGAAAUGCUUAGAUAUCACGAAGAACUCCGAUUGCGAAGGCAGCCUGCUAAGCUGCAACUGACAUUGAGGCUCGAAAGUGUGGGUAUCAAACAGGGUUAGAUACCCUGGUAGUCCACACGGUAAACGAUGAAUACUCGCUGU
Molecule: ribosomal RNA, 714 nt
Filed under: uncultured bacterium
Lineage: Bacteria
Description: bacterial SSU rRNA
Rfam family: Bacterial small subunit ribosomal RNA
Source: RNAcentral